This 484-nucleotide ribosomal RNA is filed under the name uncultured bacterium. Its description in RNAcentral is "partial 16S ribosomal RNA". It matches the Rfam family "Bacterial small subunit ribosomal RNA", at positions 29 to 507 of the family's 1533-position model. The record is from RNAcentral.
AUUGAACGCUGGCGGCAUGCUUUACACAUGCAAGUCGAACGGCAGCGCGGGCUUCGGCCUGGCGGCGAGUGGCGAACGGGUGAGUAAUACAUCGGAACGUGCCCAGUAGUGGGGGAUAGCUCGGCGAAAGCCGGAUUAAUACCGCAUACGACCUGAGGGUGAAAGCGGGGGGUCUUCGGACCUCGCGCUAUGGGGGGGGCCGAUGGCCGAUUAGCUAGUUGGUGGGGUAAAGGCCUACCAAGGCGACGAUCUGUAGCUGGUCUGAGAGGACGACCAGCCACACUGGGACUGAGACACGGCCCAGACUCCUACGGGAGGCAGCAGUGGGGAAUUUUGGACAAUGGGCGAAAGCCUGAUCCAGCAAUGCCGCGUGUGUGAUGAAGGCCUUCGGGUUGUAAAGCACUUUUGGCGGGAACGAAAAGGACUGUGCCAAUACCACGGUUCGAUGACGGUACCCGCAGAAUAAGCACCGGCUAACUACGUG